UAAUAAUCAUUAAAAGGAAAAAAAUAGACCUGGUGCUGAAAAUGAAGGAAAAUGUUCUAUUUGGUAUGUCAUUAAAGAAAAUGUUUUUGUUUAGUUGUUGCUGAAUUAACUCCUUUUACGGACCUGCCAGCCACAUGGGCUCAGCUCAUUAUCAGCAGCAAUUCCUCAGUCGGGUGAGAGGUUCAUGGGCAUGGUGGACCGGGUCCAAAAUCAAGCACAUACAAAGAGUGAAGGUACAUUUGAAUUCAGGCAUGUCUGACCACAAGAGCUGUGACCUUUCCCCUGUCCCACGCUCCUCUUUUGACUACCAACGCUGGAAAGUAAUGUAUCUCUCAUUAAAGAUCACUGGGGGACCCCACUAAUCAGCAGAAUAUCAACUUAAAGAAUUGUGAGGAAGGGGUAACUCACUUUCCGGUCCCCCUUCUGUCUCUCUUCAACAAGCUUUCCUUCCCGCAAUAAAUUUUUCCUAUUCUUAACCUCUGUUGUUCCUAGAUUUCAUUCUUCAAUUUUGGAGAACACGAACUCGCGUUUCAGAUACCUAGCAGGUUUGGGAGUUAAAUCUCUUCCCCCUGUAUCACUCUUGCCACAGCCUCCACCUGCUGCAAGAUUAGAGGCAUGAGUGACCACACCUGGUUUAAAUACUUUUGAAAGUGUUUUUGAUGGUGAUGGCCUUUGAAGAGUCUGUCAAAAAAAAAUUCAACCUAAGAAUGCUUUUCUUUUUUUCUCCCUUUAAAUUUUUUUGUUUGUGUUGCAGUGCUAGUCACGGAACCAGGGCUUUCACACGGAGCUACAUCCCUAGGCCUUUUUAGGGUCUUGCUAAACCACUAACUUCCCCAGGCUGGGCUGGAGCUUGAGAUUCUUCUGACUCACCCUCCCACAGUGGCAGGAUUACAGCUAUGUGCUACCUGUGACAAAGCCAUCUUUAAGGCCACUUCAUUCUUUCGACCUGGCUAAUUAACUGGACACAAAGGCUGGGCGGUGCCUCAGGGCCCACUGAGGACACCGAUCCCUGGCCAAGCUGAAUUUCUAACCUAGCCGGAUUUCUAUUCCCAGCAUCCUCAGAGGCUCUUCCUUCUGGCUGCUCUUCCUCCAGGGCGGAGCUGCAGCUUCUCCGGGGCCAAGGCUGCAGGACCUUUUGGGGUGUGGACUUCCAGUGUGGGGUGAAGUGAGGUGAGAGUCUGCAACCCCAGUGACAACAGGAGGCCCCGCUGCUGCUCCUGGCCUCACUUGAGCACUGGGCUUCCUGCUCCUGACGAGAGAUGGAGUCAGCUGAGCUAAUACAGAAGAAAUAAGGAUGGUGGACAGCAGACAAGGAAAUUCCAUGAAGUGAGCAGUUUUAUUCUAUAGUUCACUUCCACCAUGAAGCACUGCCUCACCACAAGGACACAGCAAUGGAGUCAAUAAAUCAUGGACUGAAACUUCCAAAACUGAGCCAAAAUGAAUCUUUUCUCCUUGUGCCCCAAGUCGGACCCUCACCCAAGCCGACCCACUACCCACAUCCACAGGAGCACAGAGAUAACAAGAAGCCAGCAGCCUGUUUAUCAGCCACCCCCAGGCCCAUCAUCCAUGGGACUCUGAAAUUUUCCACACUCUCCACCAACGCCCCCUCCCCUACCUAAACUUCUCCAUAUCAACCGUGCACACCCUCCUUUCAGUGCCAAUGGCCUUCUCGCCUUUGACCCAUCUGCACCCAGAUGGCAAUAAACUCAUUGCAUGUUGCUUAGACUUUGCC
Molecule: non-coding RNA, 1732 nt
Organism: Heterocephalus glaber (naked mole-rat)
Lineage: Eukaryota; Metazoa; Chordata; Mammalia; Rodentia; Bathyergidae
Source: RefSeq, a predicted model, not a curated record